UCAGGACAAAUCCAAUCACA
This 20-nucleotide small nuclear RNA is filed under the name Arabidopsis thaliana (thale cress). Its description in RNAcentral is "snRNA_12656". The record is from RNAcentral. Lineage: Eukaryota; Viridiplantae; Streptophyta; Magnoliopsida; Brassicales; Brassicaceae.